GGUUAAGCGACUAAGCGUACACGGUGGAUGCCCUGGCAGUCAGAGGCGAUGAAGGACGUGCUAAUCUGCGAUAAGCGUCGGUAAGGUGAUAUGAACCGUUAUAACCGGCGAUUUCCGAAUGGGGAAACCCAGUGUGUUUCGACACACUAUCAUUAACUGAAUCCAUAGGUUAAUGAGGCGAACCGGGGGAACUGAAACAUCUAAGUACCCCGAGGAAAAGAAAUCAACCGAGAUUCCCCCAGUAGCGGCGAGCGAACGGGGAGCAGCCCAGAGCCUGAAUCAGUGUGUGUGUUAGUGGAAGCGUCUGGAAAGGCGCGCGAUACAGGGUGACAGCCCCGUACACAAAAAUGCACAUGCUGUGAGCUCGAUGAGUAGGGCGGGACACGUGGUAUCCUGUCUGAAUAUGGGGGGACCAUCCUCCAAGGCUAAAUACUCCUGACUGACCGAUAGUGAACCAGUACCGUGAGGGAAAGGCGAAAAGAACCCCGGCGAGGGGAGUGAAAAAGAACCUGAAACCGUGUACGUACAAGCAGUGGGAGCACGCUUAGGCGUGUGACUGCGUACCUUUUGUAUAAUGGGUCAGCGACUUAUAUUCUGUAGCAAGGUUAACCGAAUAGGGGAGCCGAAGGGAAACCGAGUCUUAACUGGGCGUUAAGUUGCAGGGUAUAGACCCGAAACCCGGUGAUCUAGCCAUGGGCAGGUUGAAGGUUGGGUAACACUAACUGGAGGACCGAACCGACUAAUGUUGAAAAAUUAGCGGAUGACUUGUGGCUGGGGGUGAAAGGCCAAUCAAACCGGGAGAUAGCUGGUUCUCCCCGAAAGCUAUUUAGGUAGCGCCUCGUGAAUUCAUCUCCGGGGGUAGAGCACUGUUUCGGCAAGGGGGUCAUCCCGACUUACCAACCCGAUGCAAACUGCGAAUACCGGAGAAUGUUAUCACGGGAGACACACGGCGGGUGCUAACGUCCGUCGUGAAGAGGGAAACAACCCAGACCGCCAGCUAAGGUCCCAAAGUCAUGGUUAAGUGGGAAACGAUGUGGGAAGGCCCAGACAGCCAGGAUGUUGGCUUAGAAGCAGCCAUCAUUUAAAGAAAGCGUAAUAGCUCACUGGUCGAGUCGGCCUGCGCGGAAGAUGUAACGGGGCUAAACCAUGCACCGAAGCUGCGGCAGCGACGCUGAUGCGUUGUUGGGUAGGGGAGCGUUCUGUAAGCCUGCGAAGGUGUGCUGUGAGGCAUGCUGGAGGUAUCAGAAGUGCGAAUGCUGACAUAAGUAACGAUAAAGCGGGUGAAAAGCCCGCUCGCCGGAAGACCAAGGGUUCCUGUCCAACGUUAAUCGGGGCAGGGUGAGUCGACCCCUAAGGCGAGGCCGAAAGGCGUAGUCGAUGGGAAACAGGUUAAUAUUCCUGUACUUGGUGUUACUGCGAAGGGGGGACGGAGAAGGCUAUGUUGGCCGGGCGACGGUUGUCCCGGUUUAAGCGUGUAGGCUGGUUUUCCAGGCAAAUCCGGAAAAUCAAGGCUGAGGCGUGAUGACGAGGCACUACGGUGCUGAAGCAACAAAUGCCCUGCUUCCAGGAAAAGCCUCUAAGCAUCAGGUAACAUCAAAUCGUACCCCAAACCGACACAGGUGGUCAGGUAGAGAAUACCAAGGCGCUUGAGAGAACUCGGGUGAAGGAACUAGGCAAAAUGGUGCCGUAACUUCGGGAGAAGGCACGCUGAUAUGUAGGUGAAGUCCCUUGCGGAUGGAGCUGAAAUCAGUCGAAGAUACCAGCUGGCUGCAACUGUUUAUUAAAAACACAGCACUGUGCAAACACGAAAGUGGACGUAUACGGUGUGACGCCUGCCCGGUGCCGGAAGGUUAAUUGAUGGGGU
RNAcentral lists this ribosomal RNA (1864 nucleotides) under Escherichia coli. Its description in RNAcentral is "partial 23S ribosomal RNA". It matches the Rfam family "Bacterial large subunit ribosomal RNA", at positions 1 to 1890 of the family's 2925-position model. The record is from RNAcentral. Lineage: Bacteria; Pseudomonadati; Pseudomonadota; Gammaproteobacteria; Enterobacterales; Enterobacteriaceae.